ACAAAGCCGGGGGGGCACGUGACGUCACGGCAGGGCUUGCCGUGGCGUCACGCAGUGACGUCAUUUUCCGUAUUCCCUCCCCAGGAGCGCGGCGUGGCCGUACCGGGGAGGAGGCAGGGCCCAGGGGCGGACGGAUAGGUAUUGGGGAGGGGUCGCUCCGGUGACGUCGGGCUCCCGUGACGUCAUGCAACCGCCGGCGCGGCCCCGCUUCUCCGCGGUUGUGACGCAGACCCGGUUCCCCCCCUCCCCGGGACCCGCAGUGCUCCCUCUGGCCCUCCAGGGGGCGUCCGCCGCCAUCGGCAGCUCGGCGCUCGCUCCGCUUUGCCUGGCGGCGCAGCGGCGGGCCGGGGGCGAGGCCGGGGCCGGGCAGGACGCGCAGCCGAGCGCCGAUGGCGGCGGCGGCGGCGCGAUGAGCCUGGCGGAGGGCCGCGCUCCGCGGCGCACGGCCGGGAACCGGCUCUCGGGGCUGCUGGAGGCCGAGGAGGAGGAUGAGUUCUACCAGACCACCUACGGCGGCUUCACCGAGGAGUCGGGCGAUGACGAGUACCGGGGCGACCAGUCGGACAGCGACGACGAGGUGGACUCGGACUUCGACAUCGACGAGGGCGAGGAACCCGCCAGCGACCAGGACGAGAGCGAGCCCAAGCGCCGCCGCCGCGUUGUCACCAAGGCUUACCGGGAGCCACUCAAGAGCCUGCGCCCCAAGAAGACGGAUGUCCCCACCGGCGGCUCCCAGAAGCCGCGAGAGGUGAAAUCCAUCCCCUUGGAGCUCCAGGAUGACGUGGGAGACAGCCGGAAGCACAUGCGGCAGUCGACGACGGAGCACACGCGACAAACCUUCCUGCGCAUCCAAGAGCGGCAGGUCCAGUCCAAGCGUAAGAAGGGCGGCCCCAACUACGACCGGCCUCUGACGCAGGAGGAGCUGCUGGAGGAGGCCAAGAUCACGGAGGAGAUCAACCUGCGCUCCCUGGAGAAUUACGAGCGCCUGGAAGCCGACAAGAAGAAGCAAGUCCAGAAGAAGCGGAAGUGCGUGGGGCCCGUUAUCCGGUACUGGUCCGUCACCAUGCCCCUCGUCCCAGAGCCGGGCAAGGAGGAGAACGUGGAUGUGGAGGGGUUGGACCAAGACCCACAGCAGGCCGAAGCAGCUCCAGCCCCAGCUCCGGCUUCCGCUGGGAAGUGCUCCCGUACCUUCAUCUCCUUCAGCGACGACGAAACCUUCGAGCGUUUCUUCCCCAAAGCGAAACAGCCGCGGCUGCCGGUGCGGGAGAUCUGCCCCGUCACCCACAAACCGGCUGUUUACCGCGACCCCAUCACCGACAUCCCCUACUCCAACAUCCGCGCCUUCAAAAUCAUCCGGGAGGCCUACAAGAAAUACAUCACGGCGCACGGCCUGCCCAGCGCCGCCGCCUCCGCCGCCCUGGGGGCCGCCGCUCCCCCCGGCCCCGACCCCAACGUCCGUCCCACCCGCCAGAAGAUCAUCAUCAAGCAAAGCGUCCCCACAACCUGAGCGCCGGGGGUCCCCGGGGGCUUGUGGCCACUGCGGGUCGAGGCCUCUCCUCGCUCCGACUCCCGCUGCCCCCCGGUCCCCCGCCAUGACGUCCUACCGGCAGGAGCUGGAGAAGUACCGGGACAUCGACGAAGACAAGAUCCUGCGGGAGCUGUCGGCCGAGGAGCUGGAGCAGCUGGACAUGGAGCUGCUGGAGAUGGACCCC
RNA transcript from Chroicocephalus ridibundus (black-headed gull), 1712 nucleotides. It is a transcript of the gene named vacuolar protein sorting 72 homolog, with no coding region annotated. NCBI's taxonomy places the organism in Eukaryota, Metazoa, Chordata, Aves, Charadriiformes, Laridae. The transcript is spliced from 7 exons. The record is from RefSeq and is a predicted model, not a curated record.